AGAGGGCUCCCAGUGCACAGAGGAUGUGAUGUGGACGCCAAGAAUCCCAGAAAAACAAAAGGAAAGAGCUUCACCAUCCACAUUCCAGCAGAUCUCUUAUUCUCCUGGCUUCCUGGCUUCCAGGGAUGUUACCCCAAGAGGUAGAACCAGAGCAUUUCUACCUCACAUAGUCAGUGGCUCGGUUGUCCAAUAGAGCUGCCACAUGUAACCACUGAGCACUUGAAAUGUGGCUCCUCUGAAAUGAGAUAGGCUGUACGAAUAAAAAUAC
RNAcentral lists this long non-coding RNA (268 nucleotides) under Fukomys damarensis (Damara mole-rat). RNAcentral describes it as "lncRNA (ENSFDAG00000023202.1)". Lineage: Eukaryota; Metazoa; Chordata; Mammalia; Rodentia; Bathyergidae. The record is from RNAcentral.